Long non-coding RNA from Solanum lycopersicum (tomato), 2450 nucleotides. RefSeq lists it as uncharacterized. NCBI's taxonomy places the organism in Eukaryota, Viridiplantae, Streptophyta, Magnoliopsida, Solanales, Solanaceae. The record is from RefSeq and is a predicted model, not a curated record.
UAUCUCCUCUUUCUCCAUUUUACUUUUUCUAUGAAAAUUAAUUUUUCUAUUUGGAAUCUCAAAUUUCACCUCUUCUUCCUUGAUUGUUCGUCCUUCUAAUUGUGUGCUAUUUUUGUUGAUGUAUCUCUUCCCUAAUUUUUUGUUGUUUUAGUGCAGUUUCUUUGAUUUUAAUCAUUAUGACAACUUUUAAAUUGUCUCUUAUUAGAUUUUAUACGUACUUAUUAACAAUUUUUUUCUAAUUUAUUCAUGCAUGUCUGGAUUCUAUCUCAAAGUCUCUUUUAUAAAUUUACUUUUUCGUUUGUGCUGUUAAAAUCUAUGUAACUAGAUGUGCCUCUGCUUAUUUAUUUUUUAAAUUCUAACAAGUAUUCUGUAGUUGCAACAACUAAUUCAAUUUAAGUGACACACUUAAGGUGUUUGAUAGUAUGUCUAAACUAACUAAAUUUUUUUCUACGGAUUUUCUUUUAUGUAUUCAUUUGUACGUGAAUGAUCCAAAAGCUGCAGAUUUGAAUAAGUUUGUCCUAGGAAAGAGGCAAAAGUUAUACUGAAAGAAGUUGAAGGCAAAAGCUUCUAAUUUUUGUAUAAAUCAGACUGCUCGGAGGGAAUGGCUAUAUUGAUUCUUUUAGUAAUAUAAAUAUGGAGGAGUAAAUUUCAUUUGAAUUUUCAAAUUAUGGUUUGUUUCACAUUAAACAUGUUAGCACACAAUAAAGUUUUGACGUUUCUAGCUCAUAUUUCGAAAAGUAAAAGGCUGAAGAACAAUGUUUCUUUUCUCUAUUUAUUUAAAUAUAUCAUUCAAUUAUAAAUAUAAUUUAGAAUUGUAAUUGUGAUUAAGCUUCCUUUUAUCGUUCGAUUUUUCCUUGCUUUCAAGAUUCACACUCUCUAUGUAGUACGCAACUCAUAAAAUAUAUUUAGUGAAUGAUUUUCUCGGAGAAAAUAUGUUUUGUUGAUGUUCUUUCAAAGAUGUUUGCUCAUAAAAUGCCCCCUUUCUUUAUUUGUGAAGAGAAAACAUUUUGAUACUUCUUAACAAUGUCUAGCUUGCACCUACUAUGAUGUCAAUGUAAGCGACAUAAUAUGAGAUGUGCAAAGGAGCAUAUGUUAGCCCCUGCAUAUUACUAUAUACUAUUAAAUUAGUAACAAUAAUAGGAUAAAUAUUGUGUUUUUAGCAACAUUUAGGGUUGUUCUUUGAAGGAGUACUCUUUUUCCCUUUCUUUUUUACUUUGUGUGGAAGACAAUUUAAUUAAGUGUUAGACUAAACCAUAGCCCAUAUAUAGAAAGAGUAGUUACACUAUUAUGGGUAGUGAUAGCAUUAAGAUUCUAAGGUUGCGAAAGUAUCUUAUACAUAUGGUACUAAUUUAGGAGAAACUAAUUCAUCAUUAUGUGCUUGUAGUUUUGAUAUAAGAUACUAAUUUAGGAGAAACUAAUUCAUCAUUAUUUGCUUGUAGUUUUGAUAUAAGAUACUAAUUUAGGAGAAACUAAUCCAUCAUUAUUUGCUUGUAGUUUUGAUAGUGCAUCUUCUGGAGAAGUUGACAUGAUAGUAAUUUAAUAUUUUAAAUGAUCAUAUUUCAAUUCAAGAUUUCAAGUUUAAAAUUUAAUUUUCUCGUUCAUUUUAUAUUUAUCCAGUAGCGUAGAUUUUAAUUGCUUAGUUUUAACUAACCUUAAAACAUAUUCAAGCUGCACUUGUGGGACGGGACUAUUCGGUUGAGUCUCUUCUUGCGAAGAGGCACCAGAUCAGGGGGCUCAUCUUCUCCCCAAUGGGAGAAGCGCAAUUUACCAAGUCAAAGCAAGGGGUUGAAAAAGCACCACAAGGGACGGGAACGACGUCCUGAAUGCUUAACAUUGCAGGACCGUAACAUGGGAAUUUUCCUUCAUUGCUUAGCUUUGAUCAUCAAGGGUGGUCACUUAUACAUCUCUAAAUCUCUACCUGAGAAUUUAACAAAGAUAUCUUACAUGCCAAGAUUUUGAUACAAUGAGAGCUUUCAUGAAGAAAGUGUGAUCAAUCUUGAGGCCUGCUUUGUGACCGAAUUGUUCAGGAACAUCAAAACGAUAGCUGAGUGCCUUGCUGAUGAAUUCAUCAAUGCUGCCAAGGGUUCUUCAAAUAGCUAUGCUAUUAAGAAGAAGAACGAGAUUGAAAGGGUUGCCAAGGCUAAUCAUUAAGAGAUUGAUGUUGGAGCAAUUUUCUCUCGAGACUUUUUGGUUAUGUUAUUUUUUCAUUUAUGUUUUCAUGUAGGCAUUAUAGCAUCUGCUACUCCUUAUGGAUUUAGUUUGUUGGAGGAUUUAUGUUUGGUAUUGUUAUAAAUGUUAAACUUUGAAGUUUUUUUUUCGGGUUCUCAGUAGAAUUUUGUUAACACACAUGGUAUGGUUUGAUUUUCUUUAGACGUUUUAAGUAUGAAGAUACUUCAACUCUAUUUGUUAGCCCAUUAUGCAAAUAGUCCUGUUUGACCCCUCCCCCCCCC